UUCCGAUUCUGUGUCUCCCUCUCUCUCUGCCCCGUCCCCGUUCAUGCUCUGUCUCUGUCUCAAAAAUAAAUAAACAUUUAAAAAAAUGUUAAUCUCAUCUAAAAACAACCUCACAGACAUACCCACAAUGUUUCACCAAAUAUCUGAGCAUCUGUGGCCCAGUCAAGUUGGCAUAUAAAACUAAUCAUCACACCUUUGUAGUAGGUUCCAUGACCAUCCUGCUUUUUAGAUGAGGCAAAAGAGAGAGGUGAUGUAACUUCCUUGUCAUGUACGAUGGAUAAAUGGUAUAGACUCUGUUCUAACCCAGGUCUGACUACCCAAAGCAUGGUUCUUAAAAAAGAGAACAGGACUUAGAAUUUAGACCUUGAUUUUUUUAUGAGAAUUAAACUUUUUUAAAAAAGGAAUACAAAAGCACAUAUCACUGUGCUUGGCAUAUAAAUUCAUCAUAUAUGACUAACAUUAUUAGUAUUAGCAUUAGUAUUAUUUAUCUUAGAGAGAGAGAAAGCAGAGAGAAAAAGAGAGAGAGAGAGAGAGAGAGAGAGAGAGAGAGAGAGAGAGAGAAUCUUAAGUAGCCUCCACAUUAGCAUCAAGGCCAACAUGAGGCUCAAUCCCACGAACCUGGAAUCAUGAUCUGAGCUGAAAUCAAGAGGUAGAUACUCAACUGACUGAGCCACCAAGGGGCCUCUAUUAUUAAAAGAAUUAUUAUUACAAACAAACCUUGGUCCUCAGAAUACUAAGUAGUGAGAAUGCCAGAAUGUACUUUAAAUGAAGAUAUAUUUGACCAAAUGUUAUUCUCUAUUCUUUUCUUUGGUUUUGUGAUAUAAAGAUAAAAAAUUGUAAAUCACUAGAUAGUUAAUUUCUCCAACAUAUCCUCUUGCAAAAAUGAUAUUACCUUUGGCAGAGAUAUACUUUAUUCCUGCUGAUGCUGUUAGAAAAUGGCAAGGUCAACCAAAAUGAGAAAUUGACAGCGUCUCUGUCUUUCCAGUUUUUAAUAAGUAUUGUCAAAAGAAAUAAUAAUCAGAUUUGAACUUGUUUGUCCUUGAUGUGCCUUUUUUAAAAGGCCUCCUGGAAAAUCUAAUGUAAGAUCAAAAGCAGCUGGGAAAGAGUAGAAAUCACUUGAACAUACUUCCUUUCUUUAUUCUAUGGGAUAAAAAUAAAAUACUCACUUUCAAUGACUCAGGCACUGGGGGAUUUGCCUCUUUCUUUUCCUAGGGUGUGGGGAAUGUUGGUAAAGGGAGCUCUAAGGAAGUAAUAAACCAGAUUUUCCAAAAUGUAAAUAAAUAUUACCCUUCUAGGGAAUAAAUGGUUUUUAACGACUUUGUCCCCCAGACUCCUCGUCUCAUUUCUAGGGCAAAACUGUGAAAUUAGUUAUAUUUUUUUUCCUUCUUUUUCUUCUGCCACGAAACCUCCCAUCCUUCAUCCAAAAUCCUUGUGUUCUUUCAUCUCCACAUUUUGUGUUCUCAGCAGAGGAUGUGAUAAACUCACAGCCAUUAAGAUACAAUGACUUCUAAGAAUUAUUGUGCUCUUUUUACCAAUCCCCUUUAGAAUUUAACCAGCUUUAUAACUUAAGAAGCUUUAAUUAUAGGCAUCAAUGAGAUUGAGGGGGCAUUUACUACAAUCAGAGGGACCUCUCUGGAGUUGCUGAAAUCACAACAUAGAGAGAACAGGCUCUCUCUGCUUUCCUAGACAUUAAGCGCAGCCUUGCUGUUUUCUUACCUUGUCUCUAACGUGGGCCCUAAUUCCAGCUAUGCUCAUCACAGUGCUAAUCUCCCUUACCUGAUUCCUACCAGUGCUCUCCUCAUUCUGUCUCUGUACGGUGUGUCAGUGCUGUUGUCUCCAUUCAGAAUGCCUUCUUCUCCCCUCUCGGGCAACCCAGGCCCCUUACUUCAAAUGAGCCCAGCUUAGUCAAAAUUCUCCAUUGAAGGUAUUAAAGUUUAACUGAGGAAAUAAACCAUUUUCUAAAAAAGUAACUAUGAAAAGGUACAAGGUAAUAUACAACGAGGAGCCAUGCUAGUGAUAGAUUCAUAAGUAAACAUCAUCCUGACUCCCAAGGAACUUAUCUUCUUCUGAGGGACACAGAUAAACAGAAAAGCAACACACAGGUAGGAAGAUACAGUAGCACAACAGAAAGGGGGCAUUAUGGGAGCAGAAAGGAGGUACCCAUCUGCUAGAGUGCAUUGUUGUCACCUGGGUAGCCCUGAGAAACUGCAUUAUCUAAGGAGUUGUGCCAAACAAUUGCCACAUGAUUUAGUGUCUCUGACUUUGCCAAGUAAUACUAUAUCACAGGGGGAAAAAAAGAGAAACAUUUGAGUGUAGUAGGACUAAUGAACACACAAAUUGGAAGGAAUGUUUCCAGCAAAGAGCAAUAGUCAGACCAUGAGCACCAUUAGAUUUUGGUAGCUCUUCCUCCCAUUGUCUCACACUGAAGGAAGGGGCUGCUGAGUCGCUUCCCUGAUCACACGCAUCCAGCUUCCUUCCUCCUGCUGUGGAAAGAUGCUCACUGCAAAUUCUCUCACACUAGUGAGCCAGAUCCUCCCAACCAUAAAACAAGCUGUGUUGGGCACAUGUUUGCCUGUAGUAACAACCAUGUGAAGGGUGUUUAAACUCCUAAGGCAAUGAGAGAUUAUAGAGAACAGUGAUUAAGAACCAGCCUGCUUAAGUUGAGUCCAGGCUUCACCACUUACUAAUGGUUUGAUCGUGGGAAAGAGGCUUAAACUCUUGAUGCCUCUGUUUCCUAGUCUAUACAAUGGGAAGAAGAAUAAUAGCACUACCUCAUGGGACUGAUACGAGAAUUAAACAAGACCGUAAAGUUCUUCACAUUGUACGUGAAAUGUUUUAUGUUUCCUAGGGCUGCUUUAACAAAUCAGCACAAACUGCCUGGCUUAAAACAACAGAGAUUUAUUCUAUCACAGUUCUGGAAGCUAGAAGUCAGAAAUUAAUGUGUCAGCAGGGCUGUGCUCCCUCUGAAGGCUUUAGGGAAGAAUUGUUCAUUGCCUCUUGUCAUCUGAUGGUUGCUGGCAAUCCUUGGUGUGGCUUGGCUUGUGGACACGUCAUUUCAAUCUCUGUCUCUGCCAUAUUCCAUGUUGUUCUCCUUGUGUGUCUCUGUGUGUCUUCACACAGCCUUCUGAUAAAGAUACCAGCAAUUGGACUUAGGGUUCACCUUAGUCCAGUAUGACCUCAUCUUAAUUUAACUGAUUACAUCUGUGAAGACUAUAUUUCCAAAUAAAGUUACGUUCACAGGUUCCAGGUAGACUUGAAUUUUGGGAGAACAUUAUUCAACCCAGAAUACCUAGUAAGUAUGCAAUAAAUGUUAGGUAAAACACAUUCACCCAUUUUACCACACACACCCACAAACAUAAAACAUAAAACAUGUACUCACACACACUGAGGGGAUUCUGGGAAGAUGGUGGUUUUAAUAUGACCUUACUCAUACUCUUUAUUCUCAACUUUAGUCUCUAUUUCCGAACCAAGUAGUUGGGGGCUUUCCAGAAGGCUCUGAGGGGCAUGUACUUUUGGAGACAAUUGGUGCAGGAAUAUCUUCCCUCUGGUCAGUCCCAGGGGAAAAUCGAUACCAGGUUCCAUAGUUUCCCUGGAUCUGGAGAAGUUGAGGAGUAGCUAAAAAGAUGGGCUGAAUCCCCUCUAUUCCAGAGAAUGAAUAAGUGGGAGGAAAUUGGGUACAAAGAUGAUGAAUGGAGCCUCACAGCCUGGCUGCUAUAUACCCAAAAGAGCAGAGACCAAUGUGCCUUCUUCUACUUUCAGACCUUUGGCCAUGUAAGGUGCCAUAGCAGCUGCAUCUGAGCCCUAAUAAGAAGGGAGAAGAAAAGAAGGCACAUCAGGCACCAAGGUAGACAGAAAAGGACUGAGUAUGACUCUUGGAAAGAACUGCUAUUGAAAUAUAGCUGUUGGAGAAGAUAAAGGAUAACGGGAAUAAAACAAUGAAAAGAACACUCAAAGAUAUACAAGGAGAGCACAAAACAGACUAUCUGGAACUAAAACAUGCCUUAUAAAUGAAAACAGUCAGUAGAUGAAGAAGAGUAUUGCCCCAGUCAGGAGCUGUAUAUUGGUCUGAAAGAUUAAAUUUAUCAAGACACAGAGCAAAUUUUCACAGAGAUGGAAAUCAUGAUGGAUAAGAGAACAGACUUUGGGGAAAGAUUCAUGAAAAACCUAAUAUGAGAAUUAUAGGAAUUCCAGCUAAAGCAAAAGAAACAGACAUGAGAGAGCUGAAGGAAGCCCUGACUAUAGUCUGGAAGUGCAUAUCUGUGACUAUGCCCCACUAAAGAAAAUGCAUGAGAAAGGACACAAAGCAAGCAAAGGAACCCAGAGACUUCAACAUAAGAGAAGAUGAAAGAGAGUGUUUAGGAAAAAGGAGGCUUAACUAUAGCUAUAAAGGAGUCUUAUAGAUACAAUAGAGAGAACACGACGUGUAGCUUUUUGGCAAUACAGUAGUCCCUCCUUAUCUGUGACUUCAUCUUCUGCAGUUUCAGUUACACCUGGCCAGCCAUUGUCUGGAAGCAAAUGAUCCUCCUUCUGUCAUCAGAAGGUCAGUGGUAGCCUAAUGCAUUGUCAAGAUUCCUGCAUCAAGUGUCUCACUUCAUCUCAUCAUGUAGGCAUUUCAGCCUCUCACAUCAUCACAAGAAGGGAGGAGGGAAGCAAAUAAUACUGUGUAGCUUCCAUCUGGCAUUAAUUUCUCUGUGCUCCUCAUCAGAAUAUGAUGGAAGCUGGAGAGUCCUGAUGUGGCCCAUGGUCAUUGUCUGACUGCUGCUGUCCAUCACAGAGUCACAGCUAGUCUAGAAUGCAGCCCUUGUCCUGGAAGCCUGUAGGUGCUCUGCACACCAGGGAGGAAGCCAAGCAACAGCUGCUGAAGAAAAAUGGCUGUAAAAAGCGUGUAGCAGGGAAACACCCCAGUGAAGGUAAGCAGUGAAGACCUAUGGUCAGAAAUGGGACAGUGAGAGGCAACUGCUGAACAAGAAGGGUCUGAGAGUUCAAGAGAUGAGUCAAAGGAUGGGUUCUAGGAACCUAGAACAAGGGAGAGGAGGACUGGAAAGAUACCUGUGGAGGUCAGGUGUUCCUUCUGAUGCCACAAGGGAAUCAUACAGCUGAUAAACAAAACCCAUUUGAUUGAAAACAGUCAUGUUUGUUCUAGAUAGUAUUCUGUUCCAUCCCAAUCCAGAAUACUAAUUUGCUGGGUUUUAAUGGCCAAAGCAAUUUGUUAUUUAUGUAAGUAGUGUUAACAGAGAACAUUUAACUUUAAAAUCAGGUAAUAUAUGUGACAAUGUAACCAUUCUAGACCAUCUGCAAGUGGGAUAAUGGAUCAGAUCAGCCAGUUUUUAGUAGAUAUAUCCCAUGGGAUAAUAAAAAUCUAUGGGAUACUUGCUGUCCUAUUUCUCCUUCUGCACAACCCGUGCCUUACACAAGCACAGAAGUUUGAAUUCAUAUAUUAGGUGGGAAUCUGUGAAAUUCAUGACAUUGAAUUGUUCUGCUUUCUACCCAAGUCUGCAAUUGCUACAGAGAUUACUAGAUAAGGAAGGAGUGGGUCUGCCCUGUGGAUUCUUUGACAAAGUUGUUAUGGAUAGUCUUAUCCUUUAUAUUAGAUUUCUGAAUGCCCCUUGUAUGACAAUGGUCACGCUGGUAACAGUACUUUCUCCCCUCCUUCCUCUCUGCUCCUUUUCCCUCUUCCUUUCCCCUCAUUACCCUACCUGCUUUCUCUUCCUGCCAGUGUUCACCGUCUCUAACCUUUCUCAAUGUUGUGUAGGGAAAACCCUUUUCUUCAUUUCUUCUUUCCUUGCUUCCUGUACCUUUGGCUGACAGACUGGGUAGUUUUUAUUUGCUUGCUGGAAUUCAGGGUUUCUUGCCAUCCCAUGGCUCCCUCUUUCUGUUUUUAUUCCUUUGAUGGAAAGUGCAGCUCUUUAAAUCUUCAAGGAGUUGGACGAGCAGACACUAAAUUUCUCACCCCAUCCUAAGUGCAGCUUAGCCUGCCUUCACCCUUUUUUUGGGGAGAGGGAACUCCCUCUUUCCUUUGGUUUUUCCAUCCUGCCUAGGUUUUGGUGGUCUGUGGCUGGAUAUUUGGAGGAUUAGGAUAAGGGUACCAAGUUAGUUAUGUUUUGAGCCAUUUAGGAUCCUCAUUCUCAGAGUGAGGACAAGCAGCCUGGUUCAGCAGCCACAGUGCCCUGUUGAGGGAUAAAGCCAAGAGGUCUGUGAGAGGCCAGGAUGUGGGCAUCUGAAGAAUGACUCCAUCCAGCUGAGCCAGCAUUCUUGUUUGUAUAAGAAUCAACAAAAGCAAGAUAGAAAUAAUUUGAGAAAGACUGAGCAGGACUGUGAAAUAAAGAUAGAAAGCAAGAAUCUAUACAGAAUGAUUUAAAAAAAAGCUAUACAGAAUGAGAAAGAACUUUUGCUUUGAAGAAUUUUGUGAUGUUCCAUUUUUGAGCUAAAAAUGACCUUAACUGGACCUUAAUAAGAGAAGCUCCUGAUUCACAGACCUCAAGAUAAAGAAAGCUGUAAUUGCUCCAGAUGUAGGUGUGUUGCUCAAAGGAGCCCAAGCCUUAGCAGUCUGCAUAUAUAAAUAAGCUUCUAUUAAUAGUAAUCCCCAAAUCUUGUUGGUUGCCUGCUUAGCCUCCAUGAUGCAAAGUCCUGUGGCAUAUAGGCGAGUCCCAAAGUCUUACAUAGAACCAGGACCACUAUUGAUGUUGGCAGCUACUUGCUGCUGGCCUUGCUGACCGAGUUCCUUCCAGGUUACUGCAAUACUUUUGUAAGCAACUAUCUUUAUGGCAGUUGUACCAGUGUUGACAUGGAGGGCAGACAGGUUUUUCAUUCUGGCUCUAGUUAUACUCAGUCUUUAAGUGUGGCAAGAGGGAGGAACUUUCUGUUCUGACGUAAUUUCUGUGUGUGUGUGUGUGUGUGUGUGUGCGCGCGCGCGCAAGUGAGAGAGAGAGAGAGAGAGGUGUGUGUUGGGAUCUCACAAAACAUUGUGCAAGAAUGUUACAGGGUUUCAUGAAAUAGCUCAUGUACCAACAGUCUCCCCCCCUAAAUAGUGGGCUUGCCAGGGGGCAUGCUGCAUUCAGAUUCUCCUACCCUACUGCUUCAUGCCAUGCCAAGCCAGACUUCUUCCCAAAAGAGAGAUUCCCUCUGAGGGAGUUUGCCUUUCCCUUCACCACCUCUGCCCCAGCCCCAGGCAUGUCUAGUCCUUGCCACAGCUGUGGAAUGGGUUCAAACAGUUUUUUUCACUGCUGCUUAGCCUCUGUGAAAAACAGUGGGUACCAACAUAAACUUGGAAGAAUACUCAGACAUAUCUAGUGGCCUCAAACAAAAGGGCCAUUGGCCAUCAUAAUUAACAGCCUUGAGUUCCUUCAGAACUUGUUUUUAAAGUUUAUUUAUUUUGAAAGAGAGACAGUGCAAGUGGGGGAGGGGCAGAGAGAGAAGGAAAGAGAGAAAGUCCCAAGCAGGCUCUGAGCUGCCAGGGCAGAGCCUGACGUGGGGCUCAAACCUGUGAAACUGUGAGAUCAUGACCUGAUCUGAAACCAAGAGUCAGAUACUUAACUCACUGAGCCACCAAGGUGCCCCUCCUUCCAAAAAUGUCAAUCUAGUCGUCCCUACCCUUCAUCCCUGUGUUUCACUCAAUUACCUGAGUUCCAGAGAAAGGUUUUAAAAUCUAUUUUUUCCUAAUUUUGUCUUAUGACUAUUUGUCAGCUAGUCAGAAUAAGGCAAUGUUUACAGAGAAUAAGAUCGAUUUACAGGAUCUUAGCCUGUUGCUUAUUCUGUAUGGGUUAAAAAGACUUGCAUGGAAACCAGCCAUCCUUUGUAGCAGGUGUAUGAUAGAGAAAUGCACUCAAAUUUCCAAACUUAUAAAUGAUUUUUCUUAUAAAUUUAGACCUUGAUAAAGAAACUAUUUACAUAACUUCCAGCUAGUCUUCUAGAAUGCACAUGAAGAGAGUAAAUAUUCCCAAAGAAUGACAAUGUUUUUCUUUCCAAUCUUUGAUUUCUCCCUCUCUACCACCAGCUUACAAGUCUCCUCCUUCCUUAAGAACAAUACAAAACAAAAGACUCUUCUUUAUCUCCUUCAGGCUACUGUAACAGAAUAUCAGAGACUGAUAAGAUAGAUGGUUUAUAAAUGGCAGACAUUGAUUUCUCACAGUUCUGGAGGCUGGGAAGUCCAACAUCAAGGCCCUGGCAAAUUUGUCACCUGGUGAGACCCACUUCUUGUGACAGCUGUCUUCAUGUGGCAGAAGGGACUAGGGACUCUCUGGGUUUGCUUUUAUAGGGGCAGUAAUCCUAUUCAUGAAGACUCCACCCUCAUUACUAAUCACCUCCCAAGGCCCCACCUCCUAAUGGCCUCCCACUGGAGGCUCGGUUUCAAUGUAUGAAUUUAGGGGCCAGACAUUCAGUCCAUCACAGACUCUUAAGAGACUUUAACCAUGAUGGUUUUGUAGUCGCAGGUCCCGUUCCACUGCCUCUGCUGCUGAACUUCCAGACAGUGGCAUCAACACUCAUUGUUUCCACAUCACUUCCUAUUCUCUUGACAACCUCUUACAAUCUGAUUUCACCCUCACUGAUCUGUUGAAACUGCCAUGAAAGACCAAAAUGAUCUAAUUGUCAAAUCUCAUCCUCCACAGCUCCUGGCAGCACUGUGAACAUUGUGUCCUAUUUAAGACUCCUCUUUUGAUUUCCCUAAUGUUGUGCUCUACUGUAUUUUUCUCUAUAUCUCUGGCUCUGACCUUGUUUCAUUCUCUGGAUAUUUUCUUCCUUUUGUCCUUUAAGUAUAGGGUUUUAAAAAAUGAAAUAUUUUCUGCAUAUUAAACUGCAAAGACAGAAUACCCAAGUACCCAUCACCCCGUCUAAGAAAGAAAAUAUUACAGCUGUAGCUGAAAUCCCCUGUGAGUGCCUUCUUAAUUAUUUUCCCCUUUUUCCCCCCAAAGAGAUAACCAGUGUCCUGGACUUUGGGGGCAUCAUUCUCAUAUAUGCUUUAUACUGUUACAAAAAAUGUUUGUUAUCAUACUUCCUUGUCCAGUUGAGCAGUGUGUCUUUGAACAAAUCUAGGGAGGCACUGUUUACAAAGGUUAUGAUAGGGAAAGUGCUCCUUAAAAUUGUGCAGUGUACAUCCUGCACAGAGACAUGCAGGGCCUUCAUUGUUUUGCCUGUUUGGGAGCUUUUUAAUUUUUUUUUGAUGUUU
Molecule: long non-coding RNA, 9163 nt
Organism: Felis catus (domestic cat)
Lineage: Eukaryota; Metazoa; Chordata; Mammalia; Carnivora; Felidae
Exons: 3
Source: RefSeq, a predicted model, not a curated record